AGUGAACGCUGGCGGUAGGCCUAACACAUGCAAGUCGAACGGCAGCACAGUAAGAGCUUGCUCUUACGGGUGGCGAGUGGCGGACGGGUGAGGAAUACAUCGGAAUCUACUUUUUCGUGGGGGAUAACGUAGGGAAACUUACGCUAAUACCGCAUACGACCUACGGGUGAAAGCAGGGGAUCUUCGGACCUUGCGCGAUUGAAUGAGCCGAUGUCGGAUUAGCUAGUUGGCGGGGUAAAGGCCCACCAAGGCGACGAUCCGUAGCUGGUCUGAGAGGAGGAUCGGCCACACGGGAACGGGGACACGGUCCAGACUCCUACGGGAGGAAGCAGAGGGGAUUAUUGGACAAUGGGGGCAGGCCGGAUGCAGCCAGACCGCUUGGGUGAGGAAGUCCUUCGGGUUGAAAAGCCUUUUUGUAGGGAAAGAAAAGCAGGAGGUUAAUACCCCGCUGAACUGACGGUACCCAAAGAAUAAGCACCGGCUAACUUCGUG
Molecule: ribosomal RNA, 492 nt
Filed under: uncultured bacterium
Lineage: Bacteria
Description: partial 16S ribosomal RNA
Rfam family: Bacterial small subunit ribosomal RNA
Source: RNAcentral